AUGAGCCGAGUAGGGUCCGAAGAACGAUAUGGUUUGAGCAAAGUAUAAUCCAGCGAAGGACGAGUAGGCAAUGGUGGAAGAAGCGCCAUUGUUGGAAGCGAAAAAUAUAUGAAGAAGAACGUAAAAGACAAAGAGGAGAAGAAGAGGAAAAGAUAGAAGAGACAAAAAGAAACUUAGGAAGAAAGAAAAGGCCACCCGUCACACCAGUUAUGAGUUCCGAGGUCGGCUAUAAUGAUGAAUGGACGGCGGUAAUUAAGAUGACCUAAUUAAUGCCGUAUAUGAGACAAAAUUGAGAAUGUGAU
Molecule: long non-coding RNA, 302 nt
Filed under: Ananas comosus (pineapple)
Lineage: Eukaryota; Viridiplantae; Streptophyta; Magnoliopsida; Poales; Bromeliaceae
Description: long non-coding RNA (ACOM_LNC034035)
Source: RNAcentral